RNAcentral lists this ribosomal RNA (208 nucleotides) under Staphylococcus aureus. Its description in RNAcentral is "partial 16S ribosomal RNA". It matches the Rfam family "Bacterial small subunit ribosomal RNA", at positions 1 to 203 of the family's 1533-position model. The record is from RNAcentral. Lineage: Bacteria; Bacillati; Bacillota; Bacilli; Caryophanales; Staphylococcaceae.
UUUAUGGAGAGUUUGAUCCUGGCUCAGGAUGAACGCUGGCGGCGUGCCUAAUACAUGCAAGUCGAGCGAACGGACGAGAAGCUUGCUUCUCUGAUGUUAGCGGCGGACGGGUGAGUAACACGUGGAUAACCUACCUAUAAGACUGGGAUAACUUCGGGAAACCGGAGCUAAUACCGGAUAAUAUUUUAAACCGCAUGGUUCAAAAGUG